Molecule: ribosomal RNA, 401 nt
Filed under: uncultured bacterium
Lineage: Bacteria
Description: bacterial SSU rRNA
Rfam family: Bacterial small subunit ribosomal RNA
Source: RNAcentral
GGGGAAUAUUGCACAAUGGGGGAAACCCUGAUGCAGCAACGCCGCGUGAGUGAUGAAGGCCUUCGGGUUGUAAAGCUCUGUCUUUGGGGACGAUAAUGACGGUACCCAAGGAGGAAGCCACGGCUAACUACGUGCCAGCAGCCGCGGUAAUACGUAGGUGGCAAGCGUUGUCCGGAUUUACUGGGCGUAAAGGGAGCGUAGGUGGAUAUUUAAGUGGGAUGUGAAAUCCCCGGGCUUAACCUGGGGGCUGCAUUCCAAACUGGAUGUCUAGAGUGCAGGAGAGGAGAGUGGAAUUCCUAGUGUAGCGGUGAAAUGCGUAGAGAUUAGGAAGAACACCAGUGGCGAAGGCGACUCUCUGGACUGUAACUGACACUGAGGCUCGAAAGCGUGGGGGGCAAACA